UACAGGGGGGGCAAGCGUUGUUCGGAAUUACUGGGCGUAAAGGGCUCGUAGGUGGCCAACUAAGUCAGACGUGAAAUCCCUCAGCUUAACUGGGGAACUGCGUCUGAUACUGGAUGGCUUGAGUUUGGGAGAGGGAUGCGGAAUUCCAGGUGUAGCGGUGAAAUGCGUAGAUAUCCUGAGGAACACCGGUGGCGAAAGCGGCUCACUGGGUCUUUUCUGACGCUGAGGCACGAAAGCUAGGGUAGCGAACGGG
This 253-nucleotide ribosomal RNA is filed under the name uncultured bacterium. RNAcentral's name for it is "partial 16S ribosomal RNA". It matches the Rfam family "Bacterial small subunit ribosomal RNA", at positions 524 to 776 of the family's 1533-position model. The record is from RNAcentral.